This 75-nucleotide ribosomal RNA is filed under the name Streptococcus mitis. RNAcentral describes it as "partial 16S ribosomal RNA". It matches the Rfam family "Bacterial small subunit ribosomal RNA", at positions 1459 to 1533 of the family's 1533-position model. Lineage: Bacteria; Bacillati; Bacillota; Bacilli; Lactobacillales; Streptococcaceae. The record is from RNAcentral.
AAGGUAAGACCGAUGACUGGGGUGAAGUCGUAACAAGGUAGCCGUAUCGGAAGGUGCGGCUGGAUCACCUCAUUU